UCCCAUGUAGUUCAGUCCGUAAAGCAUCUGCCUGCAACGCAGGAGACCUGGGUUCAUUCCUAGGUUGGGAA
Molecule: transfer RNA, 71 nt
Filed under: Ovis aries (sheep)
Lineage: Eukaryota; Metazoa; Chordata; Mammalia; Artiodactyla; Bovidae
Rfam family: tRNA
About the family: Transfer RNA (tRNA) molecules are approximately 80 nucleotides in length. Their secondary structure includes four short double-helical elements and three loops (D, anti-codon, and T loops).
Source: Rfam by way of RNAcentral